CUCUCUGUCUCUCUCUCAUUUCUCUGUUUAUGUUCUUCUAUCUAUGGUGGGAGCUAGCCCUAAUUCGAUUCUCACCCUGACGUGGUGGGACAAAACCCUAGCCGCAAAUCUCUGUCCUGUUAUUCUCUGAUGGCCUACUUGGACUCGGAAAAGCUCUUAGUUAACAGAGAAAACCUAAGGAACCAAUCCGCGGUGACGAGGGCGAUGGCCAACGAGCUCGCGCCGCAAAAAUCACCCCAAACGAUUCUUGAUCGCUUCAGGUCUCUGCUCAAGCAGCGCGACGAUGAAUUUAGGAACUCGGCCGUAGACGAUGCCGUCUCUCCGCCGAGCGCCGAGGAAAUCGUGCAGCUUUACGAUCUCUUGUUGUCGGAACUAACGUUUAAUUCGAAGCCCAUUAUCACGGAUCUCACUAUAAUCGCCGGCGAGCAUAAGGAACUCGGCAAGGGCAUCGCCGACGCCAUUUGCGCUCGGAUUCUCGAGGCCCCAGUCGAGCAAAAGCUGCCUUCAUUAUAUCUUUUAGACAGUAUUGUGAAGAAUAUUGGCCGGGAUUAUGUUACGUACUUCUCUUCUCGUCUGCCAGAGGUUUUUUGUGAGGCAUACAGGCAAGUUCACCCUAAUCAGUAUAAUUCCAUGCGCCAUCUCUUUGGCACCUGGUCAGCAGUAUUCCCACCUUCUGUCCUACAUAAAAUUGAGGUACAACUGCAAUUUUCUCCUUCGGUAAACCAGCAAUCAUCUGGUUUGAAUCCCUUGAGAGCUUCGGAAUCUCCUCGACCAAGCCAUGGCAUACAUGUUAAUCCAAAGUAUCUGCGUCAGUUUGAACAUUCAGCUGUGGACAGUAAUAUCCAGCAAGCUAGAGGAACUUCAGCUGUAAAAAUGUUUGGUAAAAAACCUGCCAUUGGCUUUGAUGAGUUUGAUUCUGGUCAGGCAGAGCUUGUACCCUCCCAGGUUGGAGCUGAAAGAUUGAGCUCAGCAGGAAAUGCAGGUAAUGCCUCUUUUACCUUCGGGGCUAAUAAGUUGCGUCCACCUUCAACCAUCAGACUCGGGAGACCCUCUUCGCCAUCAAGAACUAGGCCUGAUAGGUCCUUAUCGUUGGCAGUUGAAGAAUUUGCUGCAGACCAUUCUCCUAGAAGGUUUGUUGGUGGGGGCUCUCCAGCUCAUCCCAUAUAUGAGUAUGGACUAAGUAGAGCAACUGCUAGAGAUGAGGAAAUCAGUGGCCGGCAGAGAAAACACUAUUCCGAUAAUAAGCAUAACCACUUUGAAACUAAAUUACUACACAACCUUAGUAAUGGACGUGAGCACCAAGGACCAAGAGCUCUAAUUGAUGCCUAUGGAAAUGACACAGGGAAGAGAUCUUUUGACAAUAAGCCUCUGCAGGGUCAACGCCUUGACUUAAACGGUAUAGACAAUAAGGUUGCUACACCAUCAUGGCAGAAUACUGAAGAGGAAGAGUUUGAUUGGGAAGAUAUGAGCCCCACUUUAGCAGACAGUAAUAGGAGUAAUGAUUUCUUGCCAAGGAUGAGGCCUGGUAUUGGAGUACAGAGUGCUUCCCCUCUGAAUGCUGGUCAGGCUCAGCUUCCUGCAGUGGAUGAUUCUUCUGUUAAUGCUGAAGAUUCAGUCCCCUUACUAAGUCAGUUUGGUCGUGGAUCAAUGAGGAAGAUAUCAGGAUUCCAAACUGAGAGAAAUCAGAUUCUUGAUCCUCGCUAUCCUCAGGACGCCUGGAAUUUGCCUCCCCAUCUCUCCAAAGGAAGAGGAAGGAAUUACUUGCCCUUAUUGGCAAGUCGUAUAUCUUCAUCAGACAGUGACAAAAUGCCCUCUCUUAUUGAUAAACUUCCCGAUGCCGACCCACAACUUCAUGGACCUCCAACUAUUAUAUCAAGAUUUGGUUCUUCCAAUCUUGAUUCUAUUAGUGCUGAGGCUCGGCCGACUGUUCUACCAGCAUCUAGGGGUGUAAGGCCUUCGCUAAAUGUGCAUAACUCUCGCCCACCAUACCUGCAGCAUAUUUUUCCACGGCAGAGAGUGAUGGGGGGCCAAUUUGAGUCAAUAAACGCUACCAAUGCUGUCAAUAAUCUUCGUCCAAAUGGGUCUUUACAUAUGCCCGAGCUGCAGUUGGAUGGUUUUAGAAACAGGGAGCUGAGUUCUACAAAGCUGCCACAACUGCCUAAUCAGCAUGCAGGACUAAUUCAUGUGAAUCAGCGAAACCAGGUUCAAGGCACUCUUUUACGGCCACAAUUUCUUCCAUCUCAGGAGGCACAUCCAUCUUUAGCAGCUGUAGUGCAACCUCAUUUAGUGGCACCACCUUAUAAUCGUGGAUACAGCCCACAAAUGCAUGGUUCCACUGUUAGCACAGUUCUGUCAAAUCCUGUAACUGGUGUUCAGUUGAUGUUACCAGUUCAAAACAUCCCAAGCUCAUUACAUUUACAGGGGGGAGCCUUGCCUCCUUUACCUCCCGGUGCCCCUCCCACUUCAUCACAUAUGAUACCUUUCACACAAAAUGCAGUUCCUGUUGUCGCUAAUCAACAGACGAACGUUUCUGGAUUGAUUGGUUCUCUCAUGGCUCAGGGUUUUAUCUCAUUGACCAAACAAACCCCUAUACUGGAUUCUGUAGGAGUUGAGUUCAAUGUGGACCUUCUCAAGGUGCGUCAUGAGACUGCAAUAAGUUCCCUAUACGCCGAUCUCCCAAGACAAUGCACAACCUGUGGCCUUCGAUUCAAGUGCCAAGAAGAGCACAGUAGUCAUAUGGAUUGGCAUGUAACCAAGAAUCGUAUGUCUAAGAACCGUAAGCAGAAGCCUUCUCGCAAGUGGUUUGUAAGUUCAAGCAUGUGGCUCAGUGGUGCGGAGGCAUUAGGAACUGAAGCAGUUCCUGGGUUUUUGCCUACUGAGAUCAUUGUAGAGAAGAAGGAUGAUGAAGAAAUGGCUGUUCCUGCCGAUGAGGAUCAGAAUGCAUGUGCAUUAUGUGGAGAGCCUUUUGAUGAUUUUUACAGUGACGAGACAGAAGAGUGGAUGUAUAAGGGGGCUGUAUACUUAAAUGCGCCCUGUGGCUCUACAGCAGGCUUGGAUAGGUCUCAAUUAGGUCCUAUAGUGCAUGCUAAGUGUCGGUCUGAAUCUAGUGUGGUUUCUACCGAAGGUUUUAGACAAGACGAAGGGGGAAUUACUGCAGAGCGUAGUCAGAGCAAACGAAUGCGGCUUAGUUAGAUCGACUUCUUUGUUGUCUGUAACUUAAUGUGAUUUUCUUCAUGUCAAUGCAGAGGUUACAAUUUCUUGCGUGUUUACCUUCUGGCAUUAUUUUCCUCUUUUGCUGUCAAAACGUCGUGGGGCAUUAGAAACAUUGGUUUAUGUUCAUCAAUAGGUCUGCUUAAGGAUCAGUUUGAACCACGCCAAAAGGCUUAUUUAAAAUAGAACAAGUCAAAAAGAAAGAAAAGAUAGCAAGGCAAUGGGGAUGCUGCCAGAUGCCAAAGUAUUGGAUCCACUUUUUCCACCCCUCUUUUCUAUAAACAUUAUGCAGGGUGAAGCAUGAGCAGUUCUAUCUACACCUGCAAGCUAAGGCCUCUUGUGCUUAUUUCUCAUCAAACCAAUAGAUCAACGGAAGUGAUACUCUACAAUUGCUGUUCAAGCCACGGAUAGGUUUCGAGCCCUGCUUCCAGUUUUUGGUUCCCAGGAUUUGGUUUUGGGUUGUUUAUGAUGUAAUUAAGAAUUUCUUUCUGUGGCGGUGGUUGUGCACUGUUAGCUUUAAGACUCUUGUUUUCAGCUGGUACUCUUCUUCUACUUCUUCUUUCUUUUUUUGGUAAGCUGUAAUCUAACUUCUAUGAUACGUGCUAAAUUUCUUCUGAUUUAAACAAAUGUUUUUUUUUUGUUCUUUUUGAGCGAACAAAUGUACUUGCUGUUAUUAAGUUGAAUGAAUUUAUCUUCAAGCA
Juglans microcarpa x Juglans regia is the source of this 3911-nucleotide RNA transcript. It is a transcript of the gene named polyadenylation and cleavage factor homolog 4-like, with no coding region annotated. NCBI's taxonomy places the organism in Eukaryota, Viridiplantae, Streptophyta, Magnoliopsida, Fagales, Juglandaceae. The transcript is spliced from 8 exons. The record is from RefSeq and is a predicted model, not a curated record.